This 433-nucleotide unclassified non-coding RNA is filed under the name soil metagenome. RNAcentral's name for it is "partial contains 5.8S ribosomal RNA, internal transcribed spacer 2, and large subunit ribosomal RNA". The stretch from base 1 to 120 matches the Rfam family "5.8S ribosomal RNA", at positions 35 to 154 of the family's 154-position model. The record is from RNAcentral.
GAUGAAGAACGCAGCGAAAUGCGAUACGUAAUGUGAAUUGCAGAAUUCAGUGAAUCAUCGAAUCUUUGAACGCAUAUUGCGCUCUCUGGUAUUCCGGAGAGCAUGCUUGUUUGAGUAUCAGUAAACACCUCAACUUCCAUAUCUUGUUUUGAAAUGGGAGUUGGACUUGAGUGAUCCCAACGCUUUUCCUCACCGAAAAGUGGCGGGUUACUUGAAAUGCAGGUGCAGCUGGACUUUUCUCUGAGCUAUAAGCAUAUCUAUUUAGUCUGCCUAAAAAACAGAUUAUUACCUUUGCUGCAGCUAACAUAAAGGAGAUUAGUUCUUGUGCUGACUGAUGCAGGAUUCACAAAGACAGCUUCGGCCGACUUUGUAAACUCGAUCUCAAAUCAAGUAAGACUACCCGCUGAACUUAAGCAUAUCAAUAAGCGGAGGA